GACGAACGCUGGCGGCGUGCUUAACACAUGCAAGUCGAACGAUGAAGCCCAGCUUGCUGGGUGGAAGAGUGGCGAACGGGUGAGUAACACGUGAGUAACCUGCCCUGAACUCUGGGAUAAGCACUGGAAACGGUGUCUAAUACUGGAUGCGACCUAUCACCGCAUGGUGUGUGGGUGGAAAGAUUUAUCGGUUCUGGAUGGACUCGCGGCCUAUCAGCUAGAUGGUGAGGUAAUGGCUCACCAUGGCGACGACGGGUAGCCGGCCUGAGAGGGUGACCGGCCACACUGGGACUGAGACACGGCCCAGACUCCUACGGGAGGCAGCAGUGGGGAAUAUUGCACAAUGGGCGCAAGCCUGAUGCAGCAACGCCGCGUGAGGGAUGACGGCCUUCGGGUUGUAAACCUCUUUUAGUAGGGAAGAAGCGAAAGUGACGGUACCUGCAGAAAAAGCACCGGCUAACUACGUG
This 467-nucleotide ribosomal RNA is filed under the name uncultured bacterium. Its description in RNAcentral is "partial 16S ribosomal RNA". It matches the Rfam family "Bacterial small subunit ribosomal RNA", at positions 28 to 507 of the family's 1533-position model. The record is from RNAcentral.